RNAcentral lists this transfer RNA (72 nucleotides) under Ovis aries (sheep). It matches the Rfam family "tRNA". From Rfam's summary of the family: Transfer RNA (tRNA) molecules are approximately 80 nucleotides in length. Lineage: Eukaryota; Metazoa; Chordata; Mammalia; Artiodactyla; Bovidae. The record is from Rfam by way of RNAcentral.
UCCCUGGUGGCUCAGAUGGUAAAGCGUCUGCCUGCAGUGCAGGAGACCCAGGUUCAAUCCCUGGGUCGGGAA